This 354-nucleotide long non-coding RNA is filed under the name Bos taurus (domestic cattle). RNAcentral describes it as "long non-coding RNA NONBTAT018006". Lineage: Eukaryota; Metazoa; Chordata; Mammalia; Artiodactyla; Bovidae. The record is from RNAcentral.
AAUGACAACUAGACUUUGUCAUUUUCAAACCCAACUAUUCAUUAUGAAGUCCCAAGAGCUAUUCACCAAAAUCCUCAAGUAAAAUACGCUGGAGAAACAGCAAUUGAUAGAAAAUCACGUAAAUAAGACUAGAGUAAAAUAUAGUAAACAAAGCAUGAGAUGAGGAAACUAGACAUUUUAGUUCUGGUUUUAGUAAAAAGUCUUUGGGGAACUAGGUUUCUUCAUUUGUAAAAUUAUUUUUACUAGAUAAUUUGUUAGGUUUAAAAUUCUUGGCUAAAUUUGUUUUUCAUUUAUAUGAACACAGAGCUCUCAAACUCCCACAAUAUAACCAUCUCUUGAAUUUACAGAUUCAAG